Nelumbo nucifera (sacred lotus) is the source of this 891-nucleotide long non-coding RNA. RefSeq lists it as uncharacterized. The record is from RefSeq and is a predicted model, not a curated record. Lineage: Eukaryota; Viridiplantae; Streptophyta; Magnoliopsida; Proteales; Nelumbonaceae.
GCCCACUGGUCCGUUCAUUUUCGUUUGAAGUUUGAACGGACGUUUCACUUUCUCAAAGUCUAGGCUUUGGCGCUCCAUCUCAAAGUCUCGCCGGCGGUAUUUCCCUCUCUCAGCGCCUCUCACUUUCUCUAGCGAGCAGUAAAACACUCUCUCUUCUCUCAGSGCCCUAUCACUUUCUUCAGCAGCGACAGCAGUCACAGCACUCCCUCUUCAGCGGCGACAGCCUUUCCUUUGACCUCUGCGAUUUGUUCAUUCAGGUGAAAAGGACUUGCUUGAUCGGAUGUUGCUGCAAGCAGCAAAGUUUCACUCUAAAAUAUUGUAAUCUGUUGUUCAAAUAACAUUUGCAAGUGGACAAAGGAUGGGAUAUGAUUUUUAACUUUCUUCUAACCAAUUGUGAGUUGAGGAAUACUGAAAAUAAUAAAUAAAAUUGUGACUUAGGAGAUAAGCCUGAUCCUAGCUUCCAAUUCUAUGGGGCCGGGGGGGGGGGAAUCCUGGGGAAGAGCACAGCUGCUGAAGCAAACACCAGGUAAUUUGGUCCAAUUUUCUCAUACAAGGUUCGGUUCUUCAUAAGAGAUUUGGGGGCAUUUUGAUUGAGAGAGGUUAAUUAGGAAGUGGAAUCAGUUCAGGUAAAACAUAGGUGUUCAAAUCAUCGAGGACAUUUCUUGUUAAAAAGAGAUGGUGGAUGUUUCUAGUAGCUGAAAUGGGAUUUCUUGGUUUGCAUUUUCAUGUAGUUAAGUUCUGUUGUUAGCUUGUUUUGUGUUUUUCCAAUUGGAUUUGUGGGGCAGAAUUUGUUAAACCUUGUGUUAUCUUUUUCUCAGUAUGGGGUAACACCAAGCCUUGUAAUCUUUCUUUAUUUUAUAUUUUAAUGAAAUUUUCAUUAGAGAUCAGAAA